Molecule: long non-coding RNA, 237 nt
Filed under: Mytilus galloprovincialis (Mediterranean mussel)
Lineage: Eukaryota; Metazoa; Mollusca; Bivalvia; Mytilida; Mytilidae
Source: RNAcentral
GUCACGUGAUGUCUCCUCAAUCUGGCGCGCGCGCUGGACCUGAAAUAAAAUAAAAACUUUCCAAACUAAACAUGAAACUUCUCCGGUAACACAAUACUAUAGACCCCUUACAGAAAGAAAGAAACAAAGAAACAUACAAACAAAACAAACACCCCCCCCCCCCCCCCCCCAAUCAAUCUAUGUUUCAAAGGGGGAAAGACCGUUUACAAUUGCUUUUUAAAAGCAAUCGAUUUAUAU